This is a non-coding RNA of Macaca mulatta (Rhesus monkey), 807 nucleotides long. NCBI's taxonomy places the organism in Eukaryota, Metazoa, Chordata, Mammalia, Primates, Cercopithecidae. The record is from RefSeq and is a predicted model, not a curated record.
UGUAUGGCUUAGAACAGGGAUCCCCAACCUCUGCGCAGCAGGCCCAGGCCCUGUUAGGAACUGGCUUGUUAGGAACUGGGUCACACAGCAGGAGAGGAGCAGCAGUGUUCUAUUCUGAGAUCACCCCGCUGUAUUAGUCAGCUAGAGCUGCCAUAACAGAUUACCACAGACUGAGCGACUUAAACAACACAAAUCUGGAGGCCAGAAGCCUAAGAUCAAGGUGUUGGCAAGACUGACAAUAAGCAAUACAAAGGCUCAAAUAAAUUGUUUCUCAUCUCUUUGGAAUCAUGUGGAGCAAAUAGGUGCAAAAAAGGAAAAGGAAAAACAGUCAAAAAAGAGCACAGUGGAAAGAACACCAGAUUUGACAUGAAGAUACCUAUGCAUGAGGCCAAGACCACUAACACAUACUCCUGUGGAUGAUCAUCUAAAAGCAAAUGUUCAAUAUUUUCUACAUCGUCUUAGAUGCUGGCUGGUAAGGGCUUAAAUUACACUAGCAAACAAAUACAACCAGGAGAGUACGGUGUCUGUGAAACUAAAACCAAUUCCCAUUAUGGAAAACCAUUUUUUAUAUGUCUGCUUCCCUGCUUUAGUAAACAGAACACAGAGAACAUAAUUGAAUAUUUGAUGAUUGAAAAUCUUGCAGUGUCUGUGACUUCUCAUGCUGAACAUCAGUUCUCAUCACACAGGCCUGUAGGUGUACUUGUGGGAUGGCAACGGAUUACACAGAAUCUUUAAUGGCCUUGAGAAGUACUCAUAAGGCUUCUUUUUCUUCAUCUUUAUCCUUUAAGAAAUAAAUAAAUAUUGAUA